GGACUACAGGGGUAUCUAAUCCUGUUUGCUCCCCACGCUUUCGCGUCUCAGCGUCAGUACUCGUCCAGAUGGCCGCCUUCGCCACCGGUGUUCCUCCGCAUAUCUACGAAUUUCACCUCUACUUGCGGAAUUCCGCCAUCCUCUCCGAGACUCAAGCUCAGCAGUUUCAGACGCACUUCCUCGGUUAAGCCGAGGGCUUUCACAUCUGACUUGCCAAGCCGCCUACACGCGCUUUACGCCCAAUAAUUCCGAACAACGCUUGCACCCUCUGUAUUACCGCGGCUGCUGGCAC
RNAcentral lists this ribosomal RNA (292 nucleotides) under uncultured bacterium. RNAcentral describes it as "partial 16S ribosomal RNA". The record is from RNAcentral.